GAUGAAUGCUGGCGGCGUGCCUAACACAUGCAAGUCGAACGGUAACAUGUUCUGCACUAUCGUUUUCUUUUCCUAGCUUUUUGAGUUUUGAUAUUCAAUUUAGCCUUAAGGAGUCCAAAAAGGAAGCGGGAGUGCAGAAUGAUGACGAGUGGCGGACGGCUGAGUAACGCGUGGGAAUCUGCCCCAAAGUGAGGAAUAACUGCCCGAAAGGGUAGCUAAUACCGCAUAGUCUCUUAGGAGUAAAGUCUUCGGACGCUUUGGGAGGAGCCUGCGUUGGAUUAGGUUGUUGGUAGGGUAAUGGCCUACCAAGCCGACGAUCCAUAGCUGGUCUGAGAGGAUGAUCAGCCAGACUGGGACUGAGACACGGCCCAGACUCCUACGGGAGGCAGCAGUGAGGAAUCUUCCACAAUGGGGGCAACCCUGAUGGAGCAACGCCGCGUGAAGGAUGAAGGUCUUAGGAUCGUAAACUUCUUUAUGAAUGAAGAAUAUGAC
RNAcentral lists this ribosomal RNA (492 nucleotides) under uncultured bacterium. RNAcentral's name for it is "bacterial SSU rRNA". It matches the Rfam family "Bacterial small subunit ribosomal RNA", at positions 28 to 455 of the family's 1533-position model. The record is from RNAcentral.